This 24-nucleotide non-coding RNA is filed under the name Arabidopsis thaliana (thale cress). Lineage: Eukaryota; Viridiplantae; Streptophyta; Magnoliopsida; Brassicales; Brassicaceae. The record is from RNAcentral.
CCCGCGUAUAUCUCUGCUUGUACC